GUGGGGAAUAUUGCACAAUGGGGGGAACCCUGAUGCAGCGACGCCGCGUGGGUGAAGAAGUAUUUCGGUAUGUAAAGCCCUAUCAGCAGGGAAGAAAAUGACGGUACCUGACUAAGAAGCCCCGGCUAACUACGUGCCAGCAGCCGCGGUAAUACGUAGGGGGCAAGCGUUAUCCGGAUUUACUGGGUGUAAAGGGAGCGUAGACGGCAGCGCAAGUCUGGAGUGAAAUCCCGGGGCCCAACCCCGGAACUGCUUUGGAAACUGUGCAGCUGGAGUGCAGGAGGGGUAAGCGGAAUUCCUAGUGUAGCGGUGAAAUGCGUAGAUAUUAGGAGGAACACCAGUGGCGAAGGCGGCUUACUGGACUGCAACUGACGUUGAGGCUCGAAAGCGUGGGGAGCAAACAGG
RNAcentral lists this ribosomal RNA (405 nucleotides) under uncultured bacterium. Its description in RNAcentral is "bacterial SSU rRNA". It matches the Rfam family "Bacterial small subunit ribosomal RNA", at positions 354 to 776 of the family's 1533-position model. The record is from RNAcentral.